AAAAUUUAAUUUUUUUAACGUUAAUCUGACACAAGAGCAUUUCAAGUAAGAUUAAAAGAAAAAGAAGGAACUCGGCAAAUAUUAACCUCGCCUGUUUACCAAAAACAUCGCCUCUUGCCACCUAUAAGAGGUCCAGCCUGCCCAGUGACUCUGUUCAACGGCCGCGGUAUCCUAACCGUGCGAAGGUAGCGUAAUCACUUGUUCUUUAAAUGAGGACUAGUAUGAAUGGCAUCACGAGGGUUAUACUGUCUCCUUUUUCUGAUCAGUGAAACUAAUCUUCCCGUGAAGAAGCGGGAAUAAACGUAUAAGACGAGAAGACCCUAUGGAGCUUUAAACUCAAUAACACUUGCUUUUAAACAUGAACACUUCAGAGUAAUAAAUACCUAUUACGGCCUCCUGAUUAUUAGUUUUAGGUUGGGGUGACCGCGGAGCAAAAAACAACCUCCACAUUGAACGGGGAAAAAUCCCCUGAGCCACGAGCUACAACUCUAUGCACCAAUAAAUUGACAUUUCUUGACCCAAUAUAUUGAUCAACG
This 536-nucleotide ribosomal RNA is filed under the name Hyla arborea (European tree frog). RNAcentral describes it as "partial 16S ribosomal RNA". It matches the Rfam family "Bacterial large subunit ribosomal RNA", at positions 1711 to 2454 of the family's 2925-position model. The record is from RNAcentral. Lineage: Eukaryota; Metazoa; Chordata; Amphibia; Anura; Hylidae.